AGCAUGGCUGGAAAGAAGUCUGCAAAGCUGUUGGUUUUUCUGAGUCAAGACAACAAAAGAAAAUUGUUGCUGCCAAAUGGGAUUCCAGAGUCUGUGGAGGAGCUUGUUGAUGAUGUGAGGAGAACUUGUGGAUUGAGUGGGAACUUCAGGAUCCAGUACCAGGACAAAGACUUUGGUGAUACAUUUGUAAAUUUAACAUCUACUGGAGAACUUCAGGAUCUUGGCAUCAUCAAAGUAAUCCCUUUGCCUGAUGAAGACACAGCUCCUGCACAGACAGCUGUUCAGUCAGCCUCAGUAAUGAUGACGCCUUUUCCACUUCUGGUGAAACUGAUGACACGGUGAUCCUCUCCACAACCUCUUCUAGUCCUUCUUCAAGGACCAAGCAGUGGCCCAAAGAGUUUCCCAUUCCAAGCUUUUCAUAUGACACUGAAGUCCAGUUAGAGAGAGGAAAUGCUGCUUUCAAGGCAAAUGGAACAAGGUUGAAAGUCAGUCCUAGGAUGAAGUCAGACAUUCUGGAAAAGGUAUCUGAUGAGAUCUACAAGUAUAAAGCUUACCCGAAAAGCUCAGACUUCUGUGAGGUUUCAGAGGCACUGAUCAAGAAGCACCCCUGCUUGGCAGAGCCAGGAUCUUGGAAUGGCUGCUAUGGCUGUACACAGAGACUUAAAACCAGGAUUGGAAACCUCCGUACCCAACUGAAGGGACUUGGAUGCCCCGAGCUUGCUGUCAAUGCUCUAAAGACCAAAGCUGCAGAUGACGCCCAUCCAGCAAAAAAUGUCAAGCGACCUAAAUGUGGUGAGGCCAACCAUGUGCCGUCCUAUCCAGCUGGCGUGACAGCAGACAAUUUUGAGAUGGAGCGGCAGGUACUUUUGAAGGAAGAAACGGAACAACGGGAGGAUUAUCCGAGAAAAAAUGGCCAAGACAUUUGCCUUUCGUAGACAAGAAAUUGUGGAAAAACAACCCAGGGUGGAAGAACUCCAGGAGCGAUGGCCAGCGAUGUUUCAAGAAGAAGAGAUCAAUGCUGAAUUCCUACGGAUCACAACGGUACCUCUACAAGCACGAUUCUUGGCCAGUUUGGAUAAACAGAGCAGUCAGCUUCUUCAGGUCAUUAGGAGAAAAGGUGGAGCUGUCGGUGAGAAAACCAGGGACGUCCUUAAACCUUUGGAUCAGAGUGUGGACUUGAACAUCAGAAGAGAGUGCCUCCUGAAGUCCCUUGUGAUGUACCUGGGUGAAGAUGUGAGCCANC
Molecule: long non-coding RNA, 1243 nt
Organism: Epinephelus moara (kelp grouper)
Lineage: Eukaryota; Metazoa; Chordata; Actinopteri; Perciformes; Serranidae
Exons: 3
Source: RefSeq, a predicted model, not a curated record